AAAGACUGAAAAAAGCUGAGGAAGACUCAUUUGAAGUGCUGAAGAAGUACUGCAAAGGAGGCAAUCUUCGGAAGGUCCAGCCCUUUCUGCUUCCAGAAAAAGGCCCAGAGAACUCAUGCAUAUCGACAACUAAGUGUGUAGUGCAACUGCGGUAUAGCAAACUGUACCAGAUGAAAGUGGAUUAUAUGACUAUGGAGAGUCUCCAGAAUCAGCUUUAUGAGCUGGUCCUAAUGAUGAAAGGAUCAGAAAUAGCUGGGAUGAAGGAUACAAAGGCAGAAAGAGAAAAACAGUCUGAAUUGGAGGAAAGAUUCUUGAUUCUUACCAAACAUUCUCACAAUGGUAUCAUUGAUAUGGAGUCAAUUAGGAACAUUGACAAACCAGAAGCCAUCAUAUUUAAAGAUGAGCUUACCUUCACUGGCACAACUAAAUACUACAUUGGAGAUGGAAAGGAUGUGGAUGAAGACCGUAUUUUUA
Non-coding RNA from Lepisosteus oculatus (spotted gar), 474 nucleotides. Lineage: Eukaryota; Metazoa; Chordata; Actinopteri; Semionotiformes; Lepisosteidae. The record is from RefSeq and is a predicted model, not a curated record.